CUUAACCGGGCGUUAAGUUGCAGGGUAUAGACCCGAAACCCGGUGAUCUAGCCAUGGGCAGGUUGAAGGUUGGGUAACACUAACUGGAGGACCGAACCGACUAAUGUUGAAAAAUUAGCGGAUGACCUGUGGCUGGGGGUGAAAGGCCAAUCAAACCGGGAGAUAGCUGGUUCUCCCCGAAAGCUAUUUAGGUAGCGCCUCGUGAAUUCAUCUCCGGGGGUAGAGCACUGUUUCGGCUAGGGGGCCAUCCCGGCUUACCAACCCGAUGCAAACUGCGAAUACCGGAGAAUGUUAUCACGGGAGACACACGGCGGGUGCUAACGUCCGUCGUGAAGAGGGAAACAACCCAGACCGCCAGCUAAGGUCCCAAAGUCAUGGUUAAGUGGGAAACGAUGUGGGAAGGCCCAGACAGCCAGGAUGUUGGCUUAGAAGCAGCCAUCAUUUAAAGAAAGCGUAAUAGCUCACUGGUCGAGUCGGCCUGCGCGGAAGAUGUAACGGGGCUAAACCAUGCACCGAAGCUGCGGCAGCGACACUGUGUGUUGUUGGGUAGGGGAGCGUUCUGUAAGCCUGUGAAGGUGUGUCGUGAGGCAUGCUGGAGGUAUCAGAAGUGCGAAUGCUGACAUAAGUAACGAUAAAGCGGGUGAAAAGCCCGCUCGCCGGAAGACCAAGGGUUCCUGUCCAACGUUAAUCGGGGCAGGGUGAGUCGACCCCUAAGGCGAGGCCGAAAGGCGUAGUCGAUGGGAAACGGGUUAAUAUUCCCGUACUUGGUGUUACUGCGAAGGGGGGACGGAGAAGGCUAUGUUGGCCGGGCGACGGUUGUCCCGGUUUAAGCGUGUAGGUGUGUGUUCCAGGUAAAUCCGGUU
Molecule: ribosomal RNA, 863 nt
Filed under: Salmonella enterica subsp. enterica serovar Newport
Lineage: Bacteria; Pseudomonadati; Pseudomonadota; Gammaproteobacteria; Enterobacterales; Enterobacteriaceae
Description: partial 23S ribosomal RNA
Rfam family: Bacterial large subunit ribosomal RNA
Source: RNAcentral